Molecule: ribosomal RNA, 301 nt
Filed under: uncultured bacterium
Lineage: Bacteria
Description: partial 16S ribosomal RNA
Rfam family: Bacterial small subunit ribosomal RNA
Source: RNAcentral
CAGUAGCCGCGGUAAUACGAGGGGAGCUAGCGUUAUUCGGAAUUACUGGGCGUAAAGCGCACGUAGGCGGCUUUGUAAGUUAGAGGUGAAAGCCCAGAGCUCAACUCUGGAAUUGCCUUUAAGACUGCAUCGCUUGAAUCCAGGAGAGGUGAGUGGAAUUCCGAGUGUAGAGGUGAAAUUCGUAGAUAUUCGGAAGAACAUCAGUGGCGAAGGCGGCUCACUGGACUGGUAUUGACGCUGAGGUGCGAAAGCGUGGGGAGCAAACAGGAUUAGAUACCCGCGUAGUCCCUGUCUCUUAUAC